UACAAGUUGGCGAAAUCUCAUCUUAGAGGCAUUCAAGAAGCAAGAGCUAGAUACAAGGAGCAAUUCUUCAAAAACCAUCUCCUUGCUGAAGGACGGAUGUAAAAUCAAUGAGGCCCAUACAGAUAUAGCAAAUAGAAAUGUUGAAAGAUGGCAAAAAUCCAGAGUAAGUUGAUACUUGAUUCAGAUAACUUGAACAACCCCUGAGAAUAAAGACGACGUGCCCAUUGGGAGUGGACGCCAAACUUUUGGCAUUCCCCCGAGCAUCUGUUCCAGACGUGAUGCUAAGGUUUUGUGUAUACAAGCUGAGGAAAUCUCAUCUUAGA
Long non-coding RNA from Neltuma alba, 323 nucleotides. RefSeq lists it as uncharacterized. The transcript is spliced from 3 exons. Lineage: Eukaryota; Viridiplantae; Streptophyta; Magnoliopsida; Fabales; Fabaceae. The record is from RefSeq and is a predicted model, not a curated record.